Molecule: small nucleolar RNA, 143 nt
Organism: Cottoperca gobio
Lineage: Eukaryota; Metazoa; Chordata; Actinopteri; Perciformes; Bovichtidae
Source: Ensembl
UGACGUCGGUUCCUCCUCCUGUGUUCAGUGUUUCAGGUGGAUUUUACGACGUCACAGAGAAAUUCGGGUCUUUUUUCACCCAGAAAGCUUCCGGCUGCAGCCGACGAUCAAACGGCUUCCUGGUUUUGCGAGACCCAACAAAU